AGAGUUUGAUCCUGGCUCAGAACGAACGCUGGCGGCGUGGAUAAGACAUGCAAGUCGAACGAGAGAAUUGCUAGCUUGCUAAUAAUUCUCUAGUGGCGCACGGGUGAGUAACACGUGAGUAACCUGCCCCCGAGAGCGGGAUAGCCCUGGGAAACUGGGAUUAAUACCGCAUAGUAUCGAAAGAUUAAAGCAGCAAUGCGCUUGGGGAUGGGCUCGCGGCCUAUUAGUUAGUUGGUGAGGUAACGGCUCACCAAGGCGAUGACGGGUAGCCGGUCUGAGAGGAUGUCCGGCCACACUGGAACUGAGACACGGUCCAGACACCUACGGGUGGCAGCAGUCGAGAAUCAUUCACAAUGGGGGAAACCCUGAUGGUGCGACGCCGCGUGGGGGAAUGAAGGUCUUCGGAUUGUAAACCCCUGUCAUGUGGGAGCAAAUUAAAAAGAUAGUACCACAAGAGGAAGAGACGGCUAACUCUGUGCCAGCAGCCGCGGUAAUACAGAGGUCUCAAGCGUUGUUCGGAAUCACUGGGCGUAAAGCGUGCGUAGGCUGUUUCGUAAGUCGUGUGUGAAAGGCGCGGGCUCAACCCGCGGACGGCACAUGAUACUGCGAGACUAGAGUAAUGGAGGGGGAACCGGAAUUCUCGGUGUAGCAGUGAAAUGCGUAGAUAUCGAGAGGAACACUCGUGGCGAAGGCGGGUUCCUGGACAUUAACUGACGCUGAGGCACGAAGGCCAGGGGAGCGAAAGGGAUUAGAUACCCCUGUAGUCCUGGCAGUAAACGGUGCACGCUUGGUGUGCGGGGAAUCGACCCCCUGCGUGCCGGAGCUAACGCGUUAAGCGUGCCGCCUGGGGAGUACGGUCGCAAGAUUAAAACUCAAAGAAAUUGACGGGGACCCGCACAAGCGGUGGAGUAUGUGGCUUAAUUCGAUGCAACGCGAAGAACCUUACCUGGGCUUGACAUGUAAUGAACAACAUGUGAAAGCAUGCGACUCUUCGGAGGCGUUACACAGGUGCUGCAUGGCCGUCGUCAGCUCGUGUCGUGAGAUGUUUGGUUAAGUCCAGCAACGAGCGCAACCCCUGUUGCCAGUUACCAGCACGUGAAGGUGGGGACUCUGGCGAGACUGCCCAGAUCAACUGGGAGGAAGGUGGGGACGACGUCAGGUCAGUAUGGCCCUUAUGCCCAGGGCUGCACACGUACUACAAUGCCCAGUACAGAGGGGGCCGAAGCCGCGAGGCGGAGGAAAUCCUAAAAACUGGGCCCAGUUCGGACUGUAGGCUGCAACCCGCCUACACGAAGCCGGAAUCGCUAGUAAUGGCGCAUCAGCUACGGCGCCGUGAAUACGUUCCCGGGUCUUGUACACACCGCCCGUCACAUCAUGGAAGCCGGUCGCACCCGAAGUAUCUGAAGCCAACCGCAAGGAGGCAGG
RNAcentral lists this ribosomal RNA (1425 nucleotides) under Akkermansia muciniphila. Its description in RNAcentral is "bacterial SSU rRNA". It matches the Rfam family "Bacterial small subunit ribosomal RNA". The record is from RNAcentral. Lineage: Bacteria; Pseudomonadati; Verrucomicrobiota; Verrucomicrobiia; Verrucomicrobiales; Akkermansiaceae.